This 484-nucleotide ribosomal RNA is filed under the name uncultured bacterium. RNAcentral describes it as "partial 16S ribosomal RNA". It matches the Rfam family "Bacterial small subunit ribosomal RNA", at positions 30 to 507 of the family's 1533-position model. The record is from RNAcentral.
AUUGAACGCUGGCGGCAGGCCUAACACAUGCUAGUCGAGCGGAUGAAGGGAGCUUGCUCCUGGAUUCAGCGGCGGACGGGAGAGUAAUGCCUAGGAAUCUGCCUGGUAGUGGGGGAUAACGUCCGGAAACGGGCGCUAAUACCGCAUACGUCCUGAGGGAGAAAGUGGGGGAUCUUCGGACCUCACGCUAUCAGAUGAGCCUAGGUCGGAUUAGCUAGUUGGUGGGGUAAAGGCCUACCAAGGCGACGAUCCGUAACUGGUCUGAGAGGAUGAUCAGUCACACUGGAACUGAGACACGGUCCAGACUCCUACGGGAGGCAGCAGUGGGGAAUAUUGGACAAUGGGCGAAAGCCUGAUCCAGCCAUGCCGCGUGUGUGAAGAAGGUCUUCGGAUUGUAAAGCACUUUAAGUUGGGAGGAAGGGCAGUAAGUUAAUACCUUGCUGUUUUGACGUUACCAACAGAAUAAGCACCGGCUAACUUCGUG